GCAAGGUUAUCCAGGCUGAUUUUCCUGCAACGUUGAAGCUAAUAUGCAAUGACAGCAACAAACAAGCAUGUUUUUCAAACUAAAGGCAACAUUCUUAGGCUGUUGCAUCCAGAGAAGGAUGCAUUCACUGCAGAUGUUGUAAUGACAGUAAGAAACUAAGAAAGCAUAUUAAUGCAGAAAUUCUGAUUUGUUGAUGAAUCGUUUUUUCACAAACCACUGUCAUCGAAGUGCCACUGUGACUGAGAAAUCCAAAAUUUUCAGCUGAAUUCUUCGAUUCCAUAGACAAUCUAGACACUUUCGCUGGAUCACACACUCCAAUCCCAAACAACGACAUCCUCUCUGCAAGCUCGACCGGAUACAAAUCCUCUACCCUCUUAUCAACCCACUUCCUCAAUUCACCCAGACCAAUAGCCACCACCACCCUUUCCCUCCCAAUCACCCUAAUUCUCUUACAAUCUCAGCCUUAAUCAUAAAACACAUAUCUCAACGCCUCUUCCCCAGCUGUCCACUUUUGUUAACCCUAUCCAGCAAAAGGAUGCCUAUAUAGCCAUGAGACUGGUGGAAAAGCUUCAUAGAAUUCACAAUGACGCGUCUAGCCAGAGAAAAAAGCAAUUUGUAUACUAUUGUGUGCAAACCGUGGCCAUGCCAACCUAAUGCCUGUUUAUUUGCUUGAGUGAUCCCAAAACAAUAAAAAUUCUUCACUUCACUUUGACCAAGCAAUCACGUAUAUUUUAUAUUUUUAUACAAACCUUGAAGUAGAGAUCACGCUCACCACCAAUCUCCAAAGAAAGUCUCAACAAGAAACACAGAUUCUCCAAGCAUGUUUGUGUCCACAACCAGCACCACCAACGAAGAAAAAGGAAUGGUACUUCAGGAAUAGUCUUCCAGACCAGCUUAGACCUUGCAAGGAUGAGAUCCCCGAAGUUCAGGAGGAUUAUCUCUGACUCAGGCCUCUCAUGAUGGCACACUUCAUUAAUGUUCCACAGGAAAUUGGUAUAUUUGCAGAAGAUGGUGGCCUGGUGGGUCGGUAUUCAAGCCUCUUAUUCGAGGGGCUGUUCCUGGUUUAAAAGUUUGGUGAUAGGGUAUCCUAAGGCGUUGGACAGAGAAUGUGUAAUGGUCAAUGGUGCUGCUGUUUCUGCUCUAGGCAAAAUAAUGCAGUUCCAUCUUGAAAGACUCAAUGUGGCAAAGGUAUGUUUACUUGAUUCUUCUUUCCAGAUUAUUGGCAAAAGAAGCCUUUGUGCUUUACCAAAUGCAUUUACAUUUCUUAGUGAAUUUCUUCUUAGACUUUCCUUUCUGGACUGAUCUUGUGAGUUCUAGCUCAGUUGAAAGUAAAAAGAGAUGUUUUGCAUGAUUCCAUUGCAUUUUUGGAAAGAAAUCCUCCGAUAUUUGUCAACAAUUCAUGCUCUGAAAUAGUACAACACCAAUAUUUUCUCAAAAAUGCUGGUCAGUGAUCAUUCUGUCAAGUGUGAAGCUGGU
This is a long non-coding RNA of Populus trichocarpa (black cottonwood), 1476 nucleotides long. RefSeq lists it as uncharacterized. The record is from RefSeq and is a predicted model, not a curated record. The transcript is spliced from 3 exons. NCBI's taxonomy places the organism in Eukaryota, Viridiplantae, Streptophyta, Magnoliopsida, Malpighiales, Salicaceae.